CCUACGGGUGGCUGCAGUGGGGAAUAUUGGACAAUGGGCGAAAGCCUGAUCCAGCCAUGCCGCGUGUGUGAAGAAGGCCUUCGGGUUGUAAAGCACUUUCAGUGGGGAAGAAAGCCUUGGGGCUAAUACCCUCGAGGAAGGACAUCACCCACAGAAGAAGCACCGGCUAACUCCGUGCCAGCAGCCGCGGUAAUACGGAGGGUGCGAGCGUUAAUCGGAAUUACUGGGCGUAAAGCGCGCGUAGGCGGUCUGAUAAGCCGGUUGUGAAAGCCCCGGGCUCAACCUGGGAACGGCAUCCGGAACUGUCAAGCUAGAGUGCAGGAGAGGAAGGUAGAAUUCCCGGUGUAGCGGUGAAAUGCGUAGAGAUCGGGAGGAAUACCAGUGGCGAAGGCGGCCUUCUGGACUGACACUGACGCUGAGGUGCGAAAGCGUGGGUAGCAAACAGGAUUAGAUACCCGAGUAGUC
RNAcentral lists this ribosomal RNA (465 nucleotides) under Vreelandella stevensii. RNAcentral's name for it is "partial 16S ribosomal RNA". It matches the Rfam family "Bacterial small subunit ribosomal RNA", at positions 338 to 795 of the family's 1533-position model. Lineage: Bacteria; Pseudomonadati; Pseudomonadota; Gammaproteobacteria; Oceanospirillales; Halomonadaceae. The record is from RNAcentral.